This 433-nucleotide ribosomal RNA is filed under the name uncultured bacterium. RNAcentral describes it as "bacterial SSU rRNA". It matches the Rfam family "Bacterial small subunit ribosomal RNA", at positions 29 to 507 of the family's 1533-position model. The record is from RNAcentral.
AACGAACGCUGGCGGCAGGCCUAACACAUGCAAGUCGAGCGCGCCCUUCGGGGUGAGCGGCGGACGGGUGAGUAACGCGUGGGAACGUGCCCUUUGCUACGGAAUAGUCUCGGGAAACUGGGGGUAAUACCGUAUGUGCCCUUCGGGGGAAAGAUUAUCGGCAAAGGAUCGGCCCGCGUUGGAUUAGGUAGUUGGUGGGGUAAUGGCCCACCAAGCCGACGAUCCAUAGCUGGUUUGAGAGGAUGAUCAGCCACACUGGGACUGAGACACGGCCCAGACUCCUACGGGAGGCAGCAGUGGGGGAAUCUUAGACAAUGGGCGCAAGCCUGAUCUAGCCAUGCCGCGUGAGCGAUGAAGGCCUUAGGGUUGUAAAGCUCUUUCGUGGGGGAAGAUAAUGACUGUACCCCAAGAAGAAGCCCCGGCUAACUCCGUG